GAUGAACGCUGGCGGCGUGCCUAAUACAUGCAAGUCGAGCGAACAGACGAGGAGCUUGCUCCUCUGACGUUAGCGGCGGACGGGUGAGUAACACGUGGAUAACCUACCUAUAAGACUGGGAUAACUUCGGGAAACCGGAGCUAAUACCGGAUAACAUGUUGAACCGCAUGGUUCAACAGUGAAAGACGGUCUUGCUGUCACUUAUAGAUGGAUCCGCGCCGCAUUAGCUAGUUGGUAAGGUAACGGCUUACCAAGGCAACGAUGCGUAGCCGACCUGAGAGGGUGAUCGGCCACACUGGAACUGAGACACGGUCCAUACUCCUACGGGAGGCAGCAGUAGGGAAUCUUCCGCAAUGGGCGAAAGCCUGACGGAGCAACGCCGCGUGAGUGAAGAAGGUCUUCGGAUCGUAAAACUCUGUUAUUAGGGAAGAACAAAUGUGUAAGUAACUAUGCACGUCUUGACGGUACCUAAUCAGAAAGCCACGGCUAACUACGUG
RNAcentral lists this ribosomal RNA (497 nucleotides) under uncultured bacterium. RNAcentral describes it as "partial 16S ribosomal RNA". It matches the Rfam family "Bacterial small subunit ribosomal RNA", at positions 28 to 507 of the family's 1533-position model. The record is from RNAcentral.